GUUAAGCGACUAAGCGUACACGGUGGAUGCCCUGGCAGUCAGAGGCGAUGAAGGACGUGCUAAUCUGCGAUAAGCGUCGGUAAGGUGAUAUGAACCGUUAUAACCGGCGAUUUCCGAAUGGGGAAACCCAGUGUGUUUCGACACACUAUCAUUAACUGAAUCCAUAGGUUAAUGAGGCGAACCGGGGGAACUGAAACAUCUAAGUACCCCGAGGAAAAGAAAUCAACCGAGAUUCCCCCAGUAGCGGCGAGCGAACGGGGAGCAGCCCAGAGCCUGAAUCAGUGUGUGUGUUAGUGGAAGCGUCUGGAAAGGCGCGCGAUACAGGGUGACAGCCCCGUACACAAAAAUGCACAUGCUGUGAGCUCGAUGAGUAGGGCGGGACACGUGGUAUCCUGUCUGAAUAUGGGGGGACCAUCCUCCAAGGCUAAAUACUCCUGACUGACCGAUAGUGAACCAGUACCGUGAGGGAAAGGCGAAAAGAACCCCGGCGAGGGGAGUGAAAAAGAACCUGAAACCGUGUACGUACAAGCAGUGGGAGCCUCUUUAUGGGGUGACUGCGUACCUUUUGUAUAAUGGGUCAGCGACUUAUAUUCUGUAGCAAGGUUAACCGAAUAGGGGAGCCGAAGGGAAACCGAGUCUUAACUGGGCGUUAAGUUGCAGGGUAUAGACCCGAAACCCGGUGAUCUAGCCAUGGGCAGGUUGAAGGUUGGGUAACACUAACUGGAGGACCGAACCGACUAAUGUUGAAAAAUUAGCGGAUGACUUGUGGCUGGGGGUGAAAGGCCAAUCAAACCGGGAGAUAGCUGGUUCUCCCCGAAAGCUAUUUAGGUAGCGCCUCGUGAAUUCAUCUCCGGGGGUAGAGCACUGUUUCGGCAAGGGGGUCAUCCCGACUUACCAACCCGAUGCAAACUGCGAAUACCGGAGAAUGUUAUCACGGGAGACACACGGCGGGUGCUAACGUCCGUCGUGAAGAGGGAAACAACCCAGACCGCCAGCUAAGGUCCCAAAGUCAUGGUUAAGUGGGAAACGAUGUGGGAAGGCCCAGACAGCCAGGAUGUUGGCUUAGAAGCAGCCAUCAUUUAAAGAAAGCGUAAUAGCUCACUGGUCGAGUCGGCCUGCGCGGAAGAUGUAACGGGGCUAAACCAUGCACCGAAGCUGCGGCAGCGACACUAUGUGUUGUUGGGUAGGGGAGCGUUCUGUAAGCCUGUGAAGGUGUACUGUGAGGUAUGCUGGAGGUAUCAGAAGUGCGAAUGCUGACAUAAGUAACGAUAAAGCGGGUGAAAAGCCCGCUCGCCGGAAGACCAAGGGUUCCUGUCCAACGUUAAUCGGGGCAGGGUGAGUCGACCCCUAAGGCGAGGCCGAAAGGCGUAGUCGAUGGGAAACAGGUUAAUAUUCCUGUACUUGGUGUUACUGCGAAGGGGGGACGGAGAAGGCUAUGUUGGCCGGGCGACGGUUGUCCCGGUUUAAGCGUGUAGGCUGGUUUUCCAGGCAAAUCCGGAAAAUCAAGGCUGAGGCGUGAUGACGAGGCACUACGGUGCUGAAGCAACAAAUGCCCUGCUUCCAGGAAAAGCCUCUAAGCAUCAGGUAACAUCAAAUCGUACCCCAAACCGACACAGGUGGUCAGGUAGAGAAUACCAAGGCGCUUGAGAGAACUCGGGUGAAGGAACUAGGCAAAAUGGUGCCGUAACUUCGGGAGAAGGCACGCUGAUAUGUAGGUGAAGUCCCUCGCGGAUGGAGCUGAAAUCAGUCGAAGAUACCAGCUGGCUGCAACUGUUUAUUAAAAACACAGCACUGUGCAAACACGAAAGUGGACGUAUACGGUGUGACGCCUGCCCGGUGCCGGAAGGUUAAUUGAUGGGGUCAGCGCAAGCGAAGCUCUUGAUCGAAGCCCCGGUAAACGGCGGCCGUAACUAUAACGGUCCUAAGGUAGCGAAAUUCCUUGUCGGGUAAGUUCCGACCUGCACGAAUGGCGUAAUGAUGGCCAGGCUGUCUCCACCCGAGACUCAGUGAAAUUGAACUCGCUGUGAAGAUGCAGUGUACCCGCGGCAAGACGGAAAGACCCCGUGAACCUUUACUAUAGCUUGACACUGAACAUUGAGCCUUGAUGUGUAGGAUAGGUGGGAGGCUUGGAAGUGUGGACGCCAGUCUGCAUGGAGCCGACCUUGAAAUACCACCCUUUAAUGUUUGAUGUUCUAACGUUGACCCGUAAUCCGGGUUGCGGACAGUGUCUGGUGGGUAGUUUGACUGGGGCGGUCUCCUCCUAAAGAGUAACGGAGGAGCACGAAGGUUGGCUAAUCCUGGUCGGACAUCAGGAGGUUAGUGCAAUGGCAUAAGCCAGCUUGACUGCGAGCGUGACGGCGCGAGCAGGUGCGAAAGCAGGUCAUAGUGAUCCGGUGGUUCUGAAUGGAAGGGCCAUCGCUCAACGGAUAAAAGGUACUCCGGGGAUAACAGGCUGAUACCGCCCAAGAGUUCAUAUCGACGGCGGUGUUUGGCACCUCGAUGUCGGCUCAUCACAUCCUGGGGCUGAAGUAGGUCCCAAGGGUAUGGCUGUUCGCCAUUUAAAGUGGUACGCGAGCUGGGUUUAGAACGUCGUGAGACAGUUCGGUCCCUAUCUGCCGUGGGCGCUGGAGAACUGAGGGGGGCUGCUCCUAGUACGAGAGGACCGGAGUGGACGCAUCACUGGUGUUCGGGUUGUCAUGCCAAUGGCACUGCCCGGUAGCUAAAUGCGGAAGAGAUAAGUGCUGAAAGCAUCUAAGCACGAAACUUGCCCCGAGAUGAGUUCUCCCUGACUCCUUGAGAGUCCUGAAGGAACGUUGAAGACGACGACGUUGAUAGGCCGGGUGUGUAAGCGCAGCGAUGCGUUGAGCUAACCGGUACUAAUGAACCGUGAGGCUUAACCUUACAAC
This 2906-nucleotide ribosomal RNA is filed under the name Escherichia coli. RNAcentral describes it as "partial 23S ribosomal RNA". It matches the Rfam family "Bacterial large subunit ribosomal RNA". Lineage: Bacteria; Pseudomonadati; Pseudomonadota; Gammaproteobacteria; Enterobacterales; Enterobacteriaceae. The record is from RNAcentral.